RNAcentral lists this transfer RNA (75 nucleotides) under Gemmatimonadota bacterium. RNAcentral describes it as "Gemmatimonadetes bacterium tRNA-Gln". It matches the Rfam family "tRNA". From Rfam's summary of the family: Transfer RNA (tRNA) molecules are approximately 80 nucleotides in length. Their secondary structure includes four short double-helical elements and three loops (D, anti-codon, and T loops). The record is from RNAcentral. Lineage: Bacteria; Pseudomonadati; Gemmatimonadota.
AGCCCGGUCGUUCAAUUGGUAGGACAGCGGGUUUUGGUCUCGUCGAUCGGGGUUCGAGUCCCUGCCGGGCUGCCA